Molecule: small nucleolar RNA, 107 nt
Filed under: Nicotiana attenuata
Lineage: Eukaryota; Viridiplantae; Streptophyta; Magnoliopsida; Solanales; Solanaceae
Description: Plant small nucleolar RNA R71
Rfam family: Plant small nucleolar RNA R71
About the family: R71 is a member of the C/D box family of snoRNAs containing the C (UGAUGA) and D (CUGA) box motifs.
Source: Rfam by way of RNAcentral
AUUCCAUUAUGUUGACACUUUCACAUUAUCUCCUUAAACCUCUCACAUGCUUCAAAUACAGUUUCAGUCUCGUUCAGGCAGAAGUUAUGGAUUUCUCUUCUAAGCUU